RNAcentral lists this ribosomal RNA (433 nucleotides) under uncultured bacterium. RNAcentral's name for it is "partial 16S ribosomal RNA". It matches the Rfam family "Bacterial small subunit ribosomal RNA", at positions 29 to 507 of the family's 1533-position model. The record is from RNAcentral.
AACGAACGCUGGCGGCAUGCCUAACACAUGCAAGUCGAACGAGACCUUCGGGUCUAGUGGCGCACGGGUGCGUACCGCGUGGGAAUCUGCCCUUGGGUUCGGAAUAACAGUUGGAAACGACUGCUAAUACCGGAUGAUGACGUAAGUCCAAAGAUUUAUCGCCCAAGGAUGAGCCCGCGUAGGAUUAGCUAGUUGGUGAGGUAAAGGCUCACCAAGGCGACGAUCCUUAGCUGGUCUGAGAGGAUGAUCAGCCACACUGGGACUGAGACACGGCCCAGACUCCUACGGGAGGCAGCAGUGGGGAAUAUUGGACAAUGGGCGAAAGCCUGAUCCAGCAAUGCCGCGUGAGUGAUGAAGGCCUUAGGGUUGUAAAGCUCUUUUACCCGGGAUGAUAAUGACAGUACCGGGAGAAUAAGCUCCGGCUAACUCCGUG